AUUGAACGCUGGCGGCAGGCUUAACACAUGCAAGUCGAGCGGAGACUUCGGUCUUAGCGGCGAACGGGUGAGGAAUGCCUGGGAAUCUGCCUGUUAGUGGGGGAUAACGUUCCGAAAGGAACGCUAAUACCGCAUACGUCCUACGGGAGAAAGCAGGGGACCUUCGGGCCUUGCGCUAACAGAUGAGCCCAGGUCGGAUUAGCUAGUUGGUGGGGUAAAGGCUCACCAAGGCGACGAUCCGUAGCUGGUCUGAGAGGAUGAUCAGCCACACUGGAACUGAGACACGGUCCAGACUCCUACGGGAGGCAGCAGUGGGGAAUAUUGGACAAUGGGGGAAACCCUGAUCCAGCCAUGCCGCGUGUGUGAAGAAGGCC
This 374-nucleotide ribosomal RNA is filed under the name uncultured bacterium. RNAcentral describes it as "bacterial SSU rRNA". It matches the Rfam family "Bacterial small subunit ribosomal RNA", at positions 30 to 416 of the family's 1533-position model. The record is from RNAcentral.